CCUACGGGAGGCAGCAGUGGGGAAUUUUGGACAAUGGGCGAAAGCCUGAUCCAGCAAUGCCGCGUGAGUGAAGAAGGCCUUCGGGUUGUAAAGCUCUUUUGUCAGGGAAGAAACGGUGAGGGCUAAUAUCCCUUGCUAAUGACGGUACCUGAAGAAUAAGCACCGGCUAACUACGUGCCAGCAGCCGCGGUAAUACGUAGGGUGCAAGCGUUAAUCGGAAUUACUGGGCGUAAAGCGUGCGCAGGCGGUUUUGUAAGUCUGUCGUGAAAUCCCCGGGCUCAACCUGGGAAUUGCGAUGGAGACUGCAAGGCUAGAAUCUGGCAGAGGGGGGUAGAAUUCCACGUGUAGCAGUGAAAUGCGUAGAGAUGUGGAGGAACACCGAUGGCGAAGGCAGCCCCCUGGGUCAAGAUUGACGCUCAUGCACGAAAGCGUGGGGAGCAAACAGGAUUAGAUACCCUGGUAGUCCACGCCCUAAACGAUGUCUACUAGUUGUCGGGUUUUAAUUAACUUGGUAACGCAGCUAACGCGUGAAGUAGACCGCCUGGGGAUACGGUCGCAAGNUUAAAACGCGAAAGAUGACGNNGAGAGNGCGAGACGACGACGAGGGAGGAGG
Molecule: ribosomal RNA, 613 nt
Filed under: uncultured bacterium
Lineage: Bacteria
Description: bacterial SSU rRNA
Rfam family: Bacterial small subunit ribosomal RNA
Source: RNAcentral